CCUACGGGAGCUGCAGUGGGGAAUAUUGGACAAUGGGGGCAACCCUGAUCCAGCCAUGCCGCGUGUGUGAAGAAGGCCCUCGGGUUGUAAAGCACUUUCAGUGAGGAAGAACGCCUGGUGGUUAAUACCCAUCAGGAAAGACAUCACUCACAGAAGAAGCACCGGCUAACUCCGUGCCAGCAGCCGCGGUAAUACGGAGGGUGCGAGCGUUAAUCGGAAUUACUGGGCGUAAAGCGCGCGUAGGUGGCUUGAUAAGCCGGUUGUGAAAGCCCCGGGCUCAACCUGGGAACGGCAUCCGGAACUGUCAAGCUAGAGUGCAGGAGAGGAAGGUAGAAUUCCCGGUGUAGCGGUGAAAUGCGUAGAGAUCGGGAGGAAUACCAGUGGCGAAGGCGGCCUUCUGGACUGACACUAACACUGAGGUGCGAAAGCGUGGGUAGCAAACAGGAUUAGAUACCCUAGUAGUC
RNAcentral lists this ribosomal RNA (464 nucleotides) under Vreelandella stevensii. RNAcentral describes it as "partial 16S ribosomal RNA". It matches the Rfam family "Bacterial small subunit ribosomal RNA", at positions 338 to 795 of the family's 1533-position model. The record is from RNAcentral. Lineage: Bacteria; Pseudomonadati; Pseudomonadota; Gammaproteobacteria; Oceanospirillales; Halomonadaceae.